CCGUGCUAGGCGGGGAGCUCGCGGUUCCCUGUACCGGAAAAUCCGCUUAGCCGGGCACAACCCCCUCCCUCGGGGGCGACGAGAGGUACGGGGCUCCCACCCGGAGCGUCGAUGGUCAGGUCCCGCGCGAUCGGCAUUCUUGAACCGUGUCAGGUCCGGAAGGAAGCAGCACUCAGAGAGCCAGCCGGUGCGCCGCGGUCGCGCCUGAUCGGAGCGACGGGACGGGGAACCGGACCGCCUCCCGCCCACAACGGAGGGUGCACGG
RNAcentral lists this signal recognition particle RNA (265 nucleotides) under Actinomycetota bacterium. RNAcentral's name for it is "Actinobacteria bacterium (freshwater metagenome) signal recognition particle sRNA large type". It matches the Rfam family "Bacterial large signal recognition particle RNA". Rfam says of the family: The signal recognition particle (SRP) is a universally conserved ribonucleoprotein involved in the co-translational targeting of proteins to membranes. Archaeal SRP consists of a 7S RNA and homologues of the eukaryotic SRP19 and SRP54 proteins. The record is from RNAcentral. Lineage: Bacteria; Bacillati; Actinomycetota.